RNAcentral lists this non-coding RNA (29 nucleotides) under Rattus norvegicus (Norway rat). The record is from RNAcentral. Lineage: Eukaryota; Metazoa; Chordata; Mammalia; Rodentia; Muridae.
UAUUGUGUUCAGAUAGCUUCUGUGCCUUU